This 300-nucleotide long non-coding RNA is filed under the name Phasianus colchicus (ring-necked pheasant). Its description in RNAcentral is "lncRNA (ENSPCLG00000010847.1)". Lineage: Eukaryota; Metazoa; Chordata; Aves; Galliformes; Phasianidae. The record is from RNAcentral.
AAUCAGAGUUUGCUUUGAAAAUGCCUGAUGAGUAAAAGGAUGCUGAGUGCGGUCAAUUUUCCUCUCGCCUUCUCUGCCACUAACUCAGACGUGACUUCUGGCACUGCUUUAAGCAGUUGUAGCAGGAUGGCUGAUAAAAUUAUGGAAAUAGGGAAGAAUCUCAGAAAAGUGGAAAACUCAAUUGUCACCUUGACUAUGGAUGAAGAAGAAACUGAAGUUCGGGCUGAAAAAUGGGUGGAGUGUCCAAGAUGGGUGCCUUUAAAACAGCUCGUUCCACUGACAUGCUUUAAAGAGACAUAG